GGGCCCGCACAAGCGGUGGAGCAUGUGGUUUAAUUCGACGCAACGCGCAGAACCUUACCAGCCCUUGACAUCCCGGUCGCGGACUCCAGAGACGGAGUUCUUCAGUUCGGCUGGACCGGAGACAGGUGCUGCAUGGCUGUCGUCAGCUCGUGUCGUGAGAUGUUGGGUUAAGUCCCGCAACGAGCGCAACCCCCGUCCUUAGUUGCUACCAUUUAGUUGAGCACUCUAAGGAGACUGCCGGUGAUAAGCCGCGAGGAAGGUGGGGAUGACGUCAAGUCCUCAUGGCCCUUACGGGCUGGGCUACACACGUGCUACAAUGGCGGUGACAAUGGGAAGCGAAGACGCAAGUCCUAGCAAAUCUCAAAAAGCCGUCUCAGUUCGGAUUGGGCUCUGCAACUCGAGCCCAUGAAGUUGGAAUCGCUAGUAAUCGUGGAUCAGCACGCCACGGUGAAUACGUUCCCGGGCCUU
This 468-nucleotide ribosomal RNA is filed under the name uncultured bacterium. RNAcentral's name for it is "bacterial SSU rRNA". It matches the Rfam family "Bacterial small subunit ribosomal RNA", at positions 917 to 1382 of the family's 1533-position model. The record is from RNAcentral.